Molecule: long non-coding RNA, 638 nt
Organism: Plectropomus leopardus (leopard coralgrouper)
Lineage: Eukaryota; Metazoa; Chordata; Actinopteri; Perciformes; Serranidae
Source: RefSeq, a predicted model, not a curated record
AGGAGCUUUGCCUCCGCACAGACACAAACUGAGACUUUUAGUCCUACAUUCACAUCAUCCAGUGGGUUUGAUUCAAAUGGAUUUAUAAAAAGGGCCACCACCUGCAAGAAGUAACGUGGAGGUGACGGCGCGCGCUCAGGCGAAGCAGGAGCGUUGGUGCAGGACGCUGACUCUUCACACAUGGCGUCAGGAUACUUCAGUCCACCAGCAGAGGAGACACCUGGGUGCUGACUUCAUCCUCCACAACAGAGGGCCGGCCGUUUGUGACCUUAGUGCUAAAUCAAGUUCAAAGAGGACCACUGGUGUUUGGCAGAUAGUUUUACAUAAGGGCAGAGGGAGAACAGUGUGUUUGGUCAACCUCUGGCUCCCCCUUUGAUUCGCAGCUCUCUGUGACCCCUGGCAGAGCGACACCACUUAAGGCCCUUCAUUCAGCCACACUGGUCGGUCUGAUAAGAAAUGGGGGUAACAAGUGAUCUGAUGUUGUACCACUUUGAAUUUUUAUGGUCUGGCAGUUUUACAUAAAAUGUCAUGCUUUUUAUAUGCACGAGAAAAUCCUCCACACAGAAAAGUCCCACUCAAGUAAAAGGCUGAAAUUAGAUUGGAGAAUUGGUAUGUAAAACAGUGAAUGAGACAUAAAG